This 25-nucleotide non-coding RNA is filed under the name Rattus norvegicus (Norway rat). Lineage: Eukaryota; Metazoa; Chordata; Mammalia; Rodentia; Muridae. The record is from RNAcentral.
AUUCGGUUGACAAAUUAAUAGGAGC